GAUCAUGGCUCAGGAUGAACGCUAGCUACAGGCUUAACACAUGCAAGUCGAGGGGAAACGACAUCGAAAGCUUGCUUUUGGUGGGCGUCGACCGGCGCACGGGUGAGUAACGCGUAUCCAACCUGCCCACCACUUGGGGAUAACCUUGCGAAAGUAAGACUAAUACCCAAUGAUAUCCCACGAAGGCAUCCGAAUGGGAUUAAAGAUUUAUCGGUGAUGGAUGGGGAUGCGUCUGAUUAGCUUGUUGGCGGGGUAACGGCCCACCAAGGCAACGAUCAGUAGGGGUUCUGAGAGGAAGGUCCCCCACAUUGGAACUGAGACACGGUCCAAACUCCUACGGGAGGCAGCAGUGAGGAAUAUUGGUCAAUGGGCGAGAGCCUGAACCAGCCAAGUAGCGUGCAGGAUGACGGCCCUAUGGGUUGUAAACUGCUUUUAUAAGGGAAUAAAGUGAGCCUCGUGAGGCUUUUUGCAUGUACCUUAUGAAUAAGGACCGGCUAAUUCCGUG
This 505-nucleotide ribosomal RNA is filed under the name uncultured bacterium. RNAcentral's name for it is "bacterial SSU rRNA". It matches the Rfam family "Bacterial small subunit ribosomal RNA", at positions 15 to 507 of the family's 1533-position model. The record is from RNAcentral.